This 216-nucleotide long non-coding RNA is filed under the name Elaeis guineensis (African oil palm). RNAcentral describes it as "long non-coding RNA (EGUI_LNC024834)". The record is from RNAcentral. Lineage: Eukaryota; Viridiplantae; Streptophyta; Magnoliopsida; Arecales; Arecaceae.
CCUAUUUUACAUUUUUAAAACUUAGGUCAAGCAAUCAAGCUAAUCCUUAAUGACAGAUGAAGCACUAGUGGAGAUCUAAUGUGACAUAGGCAUUCCAUGCUUUUGUUGCUAACCCCCUCUCAUAAGUUGCGAGAACUAGAAUAAGGUUUUAAAUUAGUGGCAUUGCAUGAUUUAACUUGGUCACUUACAUGGCCCAUGUCAUGCUUAUGAGGCAUA